UUGUAAAAAAUUUGGGCCUGACAGGAAAAAGGUGAGUGUUUACCCACGAGAAGUGCAACCUGAGAAUCCCAACAGUUAUAGAGCAAGGAAGAGGGAGUAUUUCAGGAUGAGGCACGAACGCAGAAAGGCUAGAGAAGCAGGACCAGUACUUUAACCCCAACUGGUGCUAGCUUCUAUUCCUGAUGUUGCCAUCACUAAUCCAGUGUGCUGAUACAUGU
Molecule: non-coding RNA, 218 nt
Organism: Arachis ipaensis
Lineage: Eukaryota; Viridiplantae; Streptophyta; Magnoliopsida; Fabales; Fabaceae
Source: RefSeq, a predicted model, not a curated record